This 403-nucleotide long non-coding RNA is filed under the name Volvox carteri. RNAcentral describes it as "long non-coding RNA (VCAR_LNC002597)". Lineage: Eukaryota; Viridiplantae; Chlorophyta; Chlorophyceae; Chlamydomonadales; Volvocaceae. The record is from RNAcentral.
GGUUUAAUUAUAUGCAUGAUCACAUCAAUUUUGCUAUCGUGCAUGAUUAAGGCCCAGCAUGCGUUUGACCAUAUUUUAAGGGUACACGUGUCCCAAUUUGGUUCUUGGUGCCUCCUGCUGGUACUUGGUGGUUCCUGGCAAGCCAAGUAACACUGUCUCAGCAGUGCGUGUGAGCAAGUUUGCACACACUGCUCAUACUAACAUAUGCGUCUGGUGGAACAUGGGUGGUGGCCUAACAAAGUUAGUUGGGCACGGCCCAGAAACUCGCUAUAGAGCUGUAAUUUGAGAGGUUAAGCUUAGCUGCCGUACAGUGGUGCGGAAGUGCCGUAUUGAAGUGCCGCACAGCGGUGUGCAUCUGUUGUGCAACCUUCCUGCGAAGUUUUACGGGUGUCCUAUGUGUAAU